This 446-nucleotide ribosomal RNA is filed under the name uncultured bacterium. RNAcentral's name for it is "SSU rRNA". It matches the Rfam family "Bacterial small subunit ribosomal RNA", at positions 26 to 518 of the family's 1533-position model. The record is from RNAcentral.
AGAACGAACGCUGGCGGCAGGCUUAACACAUGCAAGUCGAACGGGCACUUCGGUGUCAGUGGCAGACGGGUGAGUAACACGUGGGAACGUACCCUUUGGUCUGGAAUAACGCAGGGAAACUUGCGCUAAUACCGGAUACGCCCUUUGGGGAAAGGUUUACUGCCGAAGGAUCGGCCCGCGUCCGAUUAGCUAGUUGGUGUUGGUAAUGGCUCACCAAGGCGACGAUCGGUAGCUGGUCUGAGAGGAUGGCCAGCCACAUUGGGACUGAGACACGGCCCAAACUCCUACGGGAGGCAGCAGUGGGGAAUAUUGGACAAUGGGCGCAAGCCUGAUCCAGCCAUGCCGCGUGAGUGAUGACGGCCUUAGGGUUGUAAAGCUCUUUCGCACGCGACGAUAAUGACGGUAGCGUGAGAAGGAAGCCCGGCUAACUUCGUGCCAGCAGCCGC